Molecule: long non-coding RNA, 464 nt
Filed under: Betta splendens (Siamese fighting fish)
Lineage: Eukaryota; Metazoa; Chordata; Actinopteri; Anabantiformes; Osphronemidae
Description: lncRNA (ENSBSLG00000001506.1)
Source: RNAcentral
GAAUUUUUGUGCAGGAUUGAAAUUUACAUAUAUCACAACAUGAUACUAGCUCUUUGCAUCCAUGUAUGUGUGGUCUUAAAAAAUGGUUACACCCUUCUUUGGCACACUGUGUUCUAGCCUCAAUGUGCUUUUAUAUUUAGAAAAAUCUGCUUUUAAGUCUUAAAGUUAUUAAAGGUCCUAAUUCUGUUGUUUAUUGUAUGUGUCAUAAUAAUGUUAAGUUUUGCCAUUUAUACUUUUUUGCUGGGUUGUUUAUUUAGAUAACAUUUAUAGCAACCAAUAACUCUACAUCAUACACUGUACAUCAGCAUAAUGAAAGAGUGCACAUACUGUACCUGUACCUUCUGAAUGUUUCUCCUCCUUUUCCAACACAGUGCUUCCUGGAUGUGAGCCUGAAACUCUCACUCACAGAUGCUGGGCAUGUGAGAGCUGAACAGAGAGCUCCCAACACAGAGCCAGUUUUGUGA